GAAAUAUUUAUUGGGAGAGAGAAAGCUUCUGCCUAAGAGAGACAGAAGGGGGACCAGAAAGAGGGUUGCCUGUGCACUCCACUUUUCAAAGAUGUUUUAUACGGCAAAGCCAUGUGGUGAGGUAUUUGACUUUUAAAAAUAAAUUUGCAGAGACCCUAAGAAUCCAGCCAAGGGCCUGUGUCCCACAGCAAUGUCCCACACAAGUCCAGCUGAAGCCUAGAGCCCACAGCAAUGUCUCAUGCAAGUCGAUAUCAAGGAUCUGCACUGAGGAGGCCCAAAGGCCAGUGGUGGAAGCUAGAAAGACUGCACCAGGGGGGUGAAGGAUCUGUGCCAGAAGGCUGAGGGAUCUACACUGGAGUCAAGAAGCGAAGCUCAAGGUGAAGACCAGAGCUCCCCUGUAGAGAACAGCAGCCAUCCCUGCAACAGUGAGGACCUGAGUUCCAGAACAGCUGAGUUCAUAUCAAGAAAACCAGCUGCAAUUAGCUUCUCCAGAAAAAUCAACAGCAUGAGAUCUCCUCCUAUUCUCCUUUUAUGCCAUUGGCAGUAAUCCUCAGGGAUUGAACUCGAGUCCUUGUGCUUGCGAGGCAGGCAGCAGAACCACUGAGGUAAAUCCCUGGCCAUGUCUCCUUAAUCCUCUUGAUU
Heterocephalus glaber (naked mole-rat) is the source of this 642-nucleotide long non-coding RNA. The record is from Ensembl. NCBI's taxonomy places the organism in Eukaryota, Metazoa, Chordata, Mammalia, Rodentia, Bathyergidae.